Molecule: ribosomal RNA, 524 nt
Filed under: uncultured bacterium
Lineage: Bacteria
Description: partial 16S ribosomal RNA
Rfam family: Bacterial small subunit ribosomal RNA
Source: RNAcentral
GACGAACGCUGGCGGCGUGCCUAAUACAUGCAAGUCGUACGCUUCUUUUUCCACCGGAGCUUGCUCCACCGGAAAAAGAGGAGUGGCGAACGGGUGAGUAACACGUGGGUAACCUGCCCAUCAGAAGGGGAUAACACUUGGAAACAGGUGCUAAUACCGUAUAACAAUCGAAACCGCAUGGUUUUGAUUUGAAAGGCGCUUUCGGGUGUCGCUGAUGGAUGGACCCGCGGUGCAUUAGCCAGUUGGUGAGGUAACGGCUCACCAAGGCCACGAUGCAUAGCCGACCUGGGAGGGUGAUCGGCCACAUUGGGACUGAGACACGGCCCGAACUCCUACGGGAGGCAGCAGUAGGGAAUCUUCGGCAAUGGACGAAAGUCUGACUGAGCAACGCCGCGUGAGUGAAGAAGGUUUUCGGAUCGUAAAACUCUGUUGUUAGAGAAGAACAAGGAUGAGAGUAACUGUUCAUCCCUUGACGGUAUCUAACCAGAAAGCCACGGCUAACUACGUGCCAGCAGCCGCCGUAA